UCUGGCGAUCCGCCGGCGUUAUGUUUGACCCGGCGGGCAGCCACCGGUAAACCUUUAAGUUGGGUUCCGGGGGAAGUAUGGUUGCAAAGCUGAAACUUAAAGGAAUUGACGGAAGGGCACCACCAGGAGUGGAGCCUGCGGCUUAAUUUGACUCAACACGGGGAAACUCACCCGGCCCGGACACCGUAAGGAUUGACAGAUUGAGAGCUCUUUCUUGAUUCGGUGGGUGGUGGUGCAUGGCCGUUCUUAGUUGGUGGAGCGAUUUGUCUGGUUUAUUCCGAUAACGAACGAGACUCUAGCCUACUAAAUAGACACUGGUUCUUUGGACCGGUGAACUUCUUAGAGGGACAAGCGACGUUUAGUCGCACGAGAUUGAGCAAUAACAGGUCUGUGAUGCCCUUAGAUGUCCGGGGCUGCACGCGCGCUACACUGAAGGCAUCAUCAUGUUUCUUUUCCUACCCCGGAAGGGGCGGGUAACCCGAUGAAACGCCUUCGUGAUUGGGAUAGGGACUUGCAAUUAUUUCCCUUGAACGAGGAAUUCCUAGUAAGUGCGAGUCAUCAGCUCGCGCUGAUUAC
RNAcentral lists this ribosomal RNA (576 nucleotides) under Paratrichodorus minor. RNAcentral's name for it is "SSU rRNA". It matches the Rfam family "Eukaryotic small subunit ribosomal RNA", at positions 1045 to 1648 of the family's 1831-position model. Lineage: Eukaryota; Metazoa; Nematoda; Enoplea; Triplonchida; Trichodoridae. The record is from RNAcentral.